Molecule: unclassified non-coding RNA, 379 nt
Filed under: uncultured Microbacteriaceae bacterium
Lineage: Bacteria; Bacillati; Actinomycetota; Actinomycetes; Micrococcales; Microbacteriaceae
Description: contains 16S-23S intergenic spacer region
Source: RNAcentral
UCCGAGUUGACCCCGGCAGUCUCCUGCGAGUCCCCGCCAUUACGCGCUGGCAACACAGGACAAGGGUUGCGCUCGUUGCGGGACUUAACCCAACAUCUCACGACACGAGCUGACGACAACCAUGCACCACCUGUACACCAGUGUCCAAAGAGUUCCCUAUUUCUAGGGCGUUCCGGUGUAUGUCAAGCCUUGGUAAGGUUCUUCGCGUUGCAUCGAAUUAAUCCGCAUGCUCCGCCGCUUGUGCGGGUCCCCGUCAAUUCCUUUGAGUUUUAGCCUUGCGGCCGUACUCCCCAGGCGGGGAACUUAAUGCGUUAGCUGCGUCACGGAAUCCGUGGAAAGGACCCCACAACUAGUUCCCAACGUUUACGGGGUGGACUAC